This 860-nucleotide long non-coding RNA is filed under the name Marmota monax (woodchuck). Lineage: Eukaryota; Metazoa; Chordata; Mammalia; Rodentia; Sciuridae. The record is from RNAcentral.
UCUUGUUAAACAUAAUUUCUAUAUGGUGAACAACGUCCCACAGGGUCAUGCCAACUGCUGCAACCUUGGCUCAUGCUGUAUUCUUAGUCAGCCCCUGAUGCUCAGGUUCCUCACACCCAGCUUGUCCCUCUAGCUCCACAGCCUCAGCUGCUGACCCUCCCCACCUUUGUCACCUGGGCUGCCCUGCUCAUCCUCAGGUCUUAGCUGCAGCAUGGCUUCCUCCAGGAAACCUUCCCCAACCUCCUUGACUGAGUCAGACCGUCCUUGCACUGUGCUCCCUCCUUCAUGUGUGUGCCCAGAGACUGGCUGCCUGCUUCCCUCCCACUUGGCCGGAAGCUUCCUGGGCACCACGUUUUACCCCACGCUUGGAACAGCCUGGUCCCUGGAGUAGAUGGCCCAUAAACACUCACUGAACAACUGAGUCCCCACAUAAUUGUCACCAAGGAGGUUCAAAUGGUCUCCUAGAGCACAGUCCUCAAAUAGGCACCAUGAAGGUCUCCUGUGAAGAAAAAAGACACAGUCUCUCCCUUUUAAAAAUAUUAUUAAUUUUGAUACCAGGGAUGGAACCCAGGGGUACUUAACUACUGAGCCACAUCCCCAGGCCCUUUUAUGUUUUAUUUUGAGACCAGGUCUCACUAAGUUGCUGAGGCUGGCUUUGAAUUUGCAAUCCUCCUGCCCCAGCCUCCUGAGUCACUGGGAUUAUAGCCAUGUGCCACUGCAUUCAGCACAAUCUUUGCUUUUAAGGUUCUUGAGUCUAGUUAGCAGGGAGACAGCCAAAUAGUGAAAAAUGACUUGUUACAGGACAAAUCAAGCAAUACAAAAAGACAAUUAAGGGAAUAGUAAUUGCAAAACAAUUGUAU